CCUACGGGAGGCUGCAGUGAGGAAUAUUGGUCAAUGGGCGCGAGCCUGAACCAGCCAAGUCGCGUGAGGGAGGACGGCCCUACGGGUUGUAAACCUCUUUUGCCGGGGAGCAACGGGCGUCACGUGUGGCGCCACUGAGAGUACCCGGAGAAAAAGCAUCGGCUAACUCCGUGCCAGCAGCCGCGGUAAUACGGAGGAUGCGAGCGUUAUCCGGAUUUAUUGGGUUUAAAGGGUGCGUAGGCGGAUCGUUAAGUCAGUGGUCAAAUUGAGGGGCUCAACCCCUUCCCGCCAUUGAAACUGGCGCUCUUGAGUGGAAGAGAAGUAUGCGGAAUGCGUGGUGUAGCAGUGAAAUGCGUAGAUAUCGAGAGGAACACUCGUGGCGAAGGCGGGUUCCUGGACAUUAACUGACGCUGAGGCACGAAGGCCAGGGGAGCGAAAGGGAUUAGAUACCCGAGUAGUC
This 460-nucleotide ribosomal RNA is filed under the name uncultured bacterium. RNAcentral describes it as "partial 16S ribosomal RNA". It matches the Rfam family "Bacterial small subunit ribosomal RNA", at positions 338 to 795 of the family's 1533-position model. The record is from RNAcentral.